CUUACAUUUACUUUCUACUUUCUUUUUUAGGAAAUUUUAAUAUUAGUGUUAUCUAGAUGUUAUUAAAAAAACUUAUUAAAAAGAGUUUCUGAAAGGUUCUUUUGGAUGCAAUGGAAAAAAAACAAACAAAAAAAAAAACAACCCAACAACAACUUUGUGUUCUAGAGUUCUCCAGAGUACCUAUAAGGUACAAGCGUAAUUUAUUUUGUUCGCCUCACUUACUUCAAGCCAAUUUUAUUCUUCUGUUACAUUUCUAUUAUUUGUUUAUUUUGAUUUCUUUUACUCACGACUCCGUUCCUCUUUCUUGUCAUGUCUUGUCCAGGAGAUGUAAAGUGAGAGGUGUUGCUUCUUUGAAAAAAAAAAGGCCAGCACAAGCGAGGCAUUGUGGGCCAGAGGAGAGACAGCCGCUAUCCCCACAUCUCUCUGUCCCUCCCUUCACCGCCUGCCACAGCUGUGCAUGAACAAGAUCAGGGCCAGAGGACAACAUAUCAGUGUGGAGACUGUCGAGGGCUCAUCAGAGGUCCCCCUUGUGCCACCAAAACAGCUCUGACCUUUCGAGUCAUGGACUCCACAAGACGUCUGAAGGUGUGCUGUGGUAUCUGUCACCGAGACAUAAGCAGCAGAUCCUUUAAGUCCUAUAAAUUGCGAGGUGGGUCCUCCAUGGAUCGGACUUGUUUGUCCGGCACAAUCCUACAGACGUUCGAUCGGAUUGAGAUCUGGGGAAUUUACAGACCAAGUCAACACCUUGAACUCUAUGUCAUGUUCCUUCAACCACUCCUGAAGAAUUUUUGUAGCGUUGCACGGCGCAUUAUCCUGCUGAAAGAGGUCACUACCAUUAAAGAAUACCGUUACCAUGAAGAGGUGUACUUGGUCUGCACCAGUGUUUAGCGUGUCCCUCCUCCUUUUCUUGGCCUUGGGAGCACUUGGGAUAUUACUUGUGGUUCUGAAGCAAAUAAUCAGGAAUUAAAAAAUGGAUUCCUCAGGC
Long non-coding RNA from Ictalurus punctatus (channel catfish), 985 nucleotides. NCBI's taxonomy places the organism in Eukaryota, Metazoa, Chordata, Actinopteri, Siluriformes, Ictaluridae. The record is from Ensembl.